UAGCCGUAAACGAUACUCGCUAGGUGUCGGCCACGGUGCGACCGUUGUCGGUGCCGUAGGGAAGCCGUGAAGCGAGCCACCUGGGAAGUACGGCCGCAAGGCUGAAACUUAAAGGAAUUGGCGGGGGAGUACCACAACGGGUGGAGCCUGCGGUUUAAUUGGACUCAACGCCGGGAAGCUCACCGGAUAAGACAGCGGAAUGAUUGCCGGGCUGAAGACCCUGCAUGACCAGCUGAGAGGAGGUGCAUGGCGUAGUCGUGU
Molecule: ribosomal RNA, 261 nt
Filed under: uncultured archaeon
Lineage: Archaea
Description: partial 16S ribosomal RNA
Rfam family: Archaeal small subunit ribosomal RNA
Source: RNAcentral